UCUUGAGUAAUAAACUAACUGUGGAAUACGUGCCUUGAGCUUUCUUCUAAUAUUGCCACUUGUUGGGCCCCUAGCUUGAGCCAGAAGGUUACAGGCCAGCAGACGCAACAUCAUUUUAUAUUUUGAUUGACGAUGACCAAGUUAGAGCAAUUCCCGGGAGUUGCUCACUUUUUUUAUAAGAAAAAAAAGAAGGAAAAAAGUUGCUUCCUUCUGCCAAAAGGAUAUUGCCUAUGAAUAUAUAGAUGAACCUUGGUACCUGUAAUGUCACAACAACUAACCGACCUACUGCCUCGUACAGAUUAGGGAAUGAGUCAUAAUCUUGAGGCCGGGUUUAAAGUGAGAGAAAGAGAGAGAAUCGGUCUCAAGACCUUGUGUUCUCCUCCGAUGCUGUCCUUCGGACGGGAAAUGGCAGAGGUGCUGUCCAUAAGUUAUAAAGGCAGGGGAGAUCCGAGCUGCACCAUCAUCGUCUAUGAUGGUAAGCGUGGACAGAUCAUCUACACACAAAGCAGCAACCAGGCCGGCAAGAGGGCGUCUCUCAGACCUUCAAAUUCUGGCACUCAGGUCAGCAGUUCUGCAUGUCAAUAGAUCAUCGUCUAUGAUGGUAAGCGUGGACAGAUCAUCUACACACAAAGCAGCAACCAGGCCGGCAAGAGGGCGUCUCUCAGACCUUCAAAUUCUGGCACUCAGGUCAGCAGUUCUGCAUGUCAAUAGUAAGACAAAUGUGUGAAGUAUAGGACAUGCCAUUUUGCUUUCAGAUGAUAUCAUAUGCCUGGAGUUUGAUUCCAGCAUAUAUUUCAUCCCUGCUUAACAGCAUGAAUCGGCCCAGCGCCCAUCUGUUUCAAAAAAAGGGUAUUAGAUAAAUAGAUAAGGUGAAUGCAAAAUUUGACAAAAUUCCAUCUGUCACUAUGAUUAAACAGAAUGCCAACAAUCACUGCCCGCUUCUGCUAACGGGGCCAUAUCGAGUGAUCUCGCUGGACGGGUGCGUUGUCCUAGAGUACAAUAUUGAUGAUUGCCAUGCUGAGAUACUUCUGGACAUAGAUGAUCCAUCCACAAAAUAUAAUGAAGCUGUCACAGAGGAACUGGGCUGUACGUGCAAUAACCACCCCAGAGCAGUGGUUACAUACGCUCUUCUGAGCAACGCGGUGGAAGCUAUUGUUGAGGUGAAGCUUCACCAGCAACGAGAGAAUACUUUCUACGGGAGGAUCAUUGCUCGAAGUUAUCUAGGUGAGGUCGUGCUAUUCGAAUCAAACAAUGAGAGCAUGCACAUCGGGUCGUCACAAGAACCAACAACCAUACCACUGUCUAGAUCAGUUCUUGCCGUGCCGUUGGACUCAUCCCUACAGAUCGAAGUAGAUCUACAGAAUCACUCCAAUGGUAAGAUCGUGAAAGGCCUCGCGACAUGCCAGGCCGACCUCAACAACUAUCAUGUGUUGCACCUCGAUGGGGAGGACGGUCAGGUAGAUGUGAAGAUCACAUGGUCAGACUAAAUGACUAUACUGAGGGUGUACUUUCGUCUGUGUCUCUACAGUUUGUGCCCAUUUGUGUUACCAUGCAUGUAUAUAAGCUAGAUAGGAUGCCCGGGUUGCAGAAUGGUAACCAUCCUCACCGAUGGCUGAUUAACCUACACUUGUACCAGAACAUAGUGAAUAUGCUCUCUAUAUGUACAGAAGCAUGGAAAAAUGUUUGUACGUUCAUUGUUCUGAGACGAAUAUAUAAGCUGAUUGGCCAAAAGAAAUCACAGACUACCUACUGUUGUUAAGCGUUUCUCAUUCUGCUCCAACGAGAAGAGCUCUACAGGUGUGAGCAAUUGCGGAGUUCACAUGGCAAUCAAAUACACACUAAAGGCACCACUUUCAAGACCAAAAGUAGAUCAAACUGUACACAAUACCAUGGGUCUAAAUAUGUACCAAGAAAUAUGAACUGCCAAGAUGAGAUAGCCAAUUGAACACGAUAUACCAUGAAUCCAUAUAUGAACAUGCAUUUUCGGAGGUUAAGUUCAGAAGGAAAAAAAAUGAGGUGAAGGAAAGAAGGAACCAAGCACACAAUUACUAACCUUAGGACAAAUUGCAUUCGAAGUUCAAAAAUCGCAGUAUCUCACAUGACAAAAAUUAGAAACAAUUACCCUAGGGAACCUCAAGCUCGGUUAUAUGCUAGCCUUGAAAAGGCUAAUCUAUUUAACCCAAGGGGGGAAAUCCUCAUGCUGUGCUCCCCUGUUUCCAGGGUUGAGCUAGACAAAAAAAGGGGUAGACCCCCAAAACAAAAGGUUAAGAAUGUCAGGAAUCUUUUGGAAUUGCAGGGGUUGGGACACCCUGACAAACAAAAGUUCCCGAGGGCAUUGAUUUCUGAGUGUUGGGAUCCAAUUCAUUGCUUUGACAGUAUCCUUUAUAUGGAUUCCAAUCAAACUUGGGCAAAGAAGCUUUCUGGCCAUCAUUUUUUUGUCUGGCAGCAUUAGAUCCCACAGGAAAGUCUGGUGGACUCUUGUUGGGUAUAGAUGCUAAUAGAUUUCUGUUGUUGGAUCUGAGAAUGCUAAAUAUUCUUAUCUGAGGUUCUGGCAGGGAUUGGAUCUUCUUUUGGCUUGUUUCCUGUCUGCAGGUGUGAUAAAACAUGACCUGCUGGGUUGAGCUUUGGCUUGUGCACCUUUGGAGCUUAGCUUUGGCUGUGGUGAGGUAGGCUGCUGUUUAGCCUGGGUGCUAAGUCUUGUCCGGCCAGCAGGCCUUUGCUUUUUCUUUUUCGUUUGUAACUGUUUCAGUUGUAAUAACUUUAUGGUGGUUUCUUUAAUGCAAAUCAACGAGGAGCCUCGUUGUUUCAAAAAAAUAACUUGGGGGUCAGCACCAGCUGGUCAUAUGUAUCUCUUUUGGCUCUUUACUUUUGGAAAGGCAGGCCCGUGAAACAUACACUUUGAACUGAGAAUGAUAUUAAUUUAUCUAUGUAUCAGCCUGGAGCAGAACUCCUCUUAAAAUAAUUGCUGACAUGCCAUUAAAACUGAGAGGUGUAGGGCAUGUUGAAGUCAUGGAGAGAAAAUGAAAAUGAUCAAUGUGCCCCAGUUCUAAAACAAUUGAAGAAAAGGAGACCAGAUAACCAUGAAAACAGUUUGGCUGCACAGUAAUGUGAACUGAGAUAACAGACUGCAAUGAAGAAAGAAAUUUAGAAGGUCAGUCAACCUUUAGAGAAAAAGCAAAGGCAGGCUAUCUAUUUAUUGGUGUCCUCUUUCAUAGAACUGGAAAAUAUAUGUAGAAGUCACUGAAUAGUAAUCAGCUAAGAGCAAUAAACUUGUGUCAGUAGAUCAUAUAAGCUCUUGAGCAGGAAAAAUUGCUAUGCCGGUAAACAUCAAAAGGCAGUUUUCGGCUCAAUUCUCUUCUUCUAUGUGAAAAAGCAGAGCUCCUCCUGGUUGUUCGAAAACAAAUUUUGCUAUGCCAGUAAACAUGUACUAAUGUUUUUACCAAGUUAGGGACUGCCAUCAAUUUCCUUUACUUCCAUAGCAUGUCAUACAACACCACUUAAAGGACAAAUCCUAGCACUAGGUACCCAAACCCACAAAGAUAAUCUUGAAAAUACCUUAGCAUGCUCCAACGCUUGGUUUAAUGCUAAUGGACACAGUAAGUUGCCAACAACUCCUCCAUUAGUAAAAUCUGGCAGAUACUUAGUUUAGAUAAACUGACAAUGCUAUUAAAAUAACAGGUAGAAGACCUUCAUUCAGAAACAUGAAUCCAUAUUGGCUAAACUGUGGUUCAACAGUUUACUACAUGUAAGAAUCUAAAACCAGUUUUCUAGAAAAAGUAUCAAACUGAAAUUGCAAAUAAACAGAUCCUGAAGCAACGUUAGUGCAUCCUCCGCUCUAGACAAAAACUUAUAAAUUAUCUAAUUAGACUACUUAAAAGUGUCAAGAAUGCAUUUAUGGCAGCUUUCAUCAUGUGACAACACGCGUGCUAAUGGAGUUGCUUCUUAAACGAACAAUGGAGCACUAAAUAAUGUAUCUGCAAUAUAAAAUUAAAUUUAUCAGAGAAUGGGCAGGGGAUUAAUUUGAUGCUACCUAAGGAAGAUUAUCAUUUCCAAACAAAAGAAAAGCUACAGUUAAACAAAAGACACUUGCAGCUAAUUAGCUGCUCAUAACCACAACAUGCCUAGCCUAUUUCAAUAUUACUUGCAGCUAUAGAAGAAAAAAGGCCUUUCAGUUUUACCUUUGAUAGCAAGUGGCUAGUGGAUAAGCACAUUGUGGCAGGAAUAAAACAGAAAAACAGGAUGAAAAAAUAAGUGCGAACAUUUAUUAUUUAUAAGGAAGAAUGCAGCAAGAACAUGAAUUUCUCAUUACCCGAAUCAUCGAUGCUUUCACUAGUUUCAAGGGAAAGUAGCAUGGAGAAUGACACUACUUCUUUCACCAAAUCUGACUAUUCUUUUCUAAAUGGCCCUUAGGAUAUUAGAGAAAUAUACCUGAAGAAUAAGCCUCACUUUUUCUAGAACUUCCAUUGAUUACUUUCCUUCCAAAUGUCUCUGGUAUCUUACUGGGGAAGUUCAGACAAACAUAAAUACUGAGCCUGGUGGUUAAGAAAACAAAUAGCAGGUUAGUACUAAGAAAAUAGCUCGCCUGAUUAUCUUUAUCUUCCACCGGCAAUAUAAUAGCUGGUGAGCACACAUGAUUACACAUAUUAGAUUCAUGUGGCACAUGAAAAUGACAACAAUCUUUUUGUUGUUAUUGAAAUGUGUGUUAUAAGCUGCAUAUAACUAAACAAGAUUCAUCAUAGAGACAUGUAGUCUAGCUAGUACACCCGAAAUGAUCUUAUAUUUUGGGACAGAGAGAGAGUAGUAAAUCCAACAAAUUCUACAGUUAGCUCAUUAUAAUACAUGCAUCCAGCAAAAGAAAAGUUUAGAAUAACCUUACCUUGCAAACAAAGGAUCGAGCAGGGGUGAGGCGGGCGCUGUUGCCGUCAGAUUGGGGAAGGAGGCGGGCGAGGGCGACCUGGUUGGGGUGGGAUCCAGUUGAAGCAACGGCGCGCAACCCACUGGUCAUGCUAUGGAUGGGCCGGGGAGUAAGCAAGCCGGCGGCGCGCUUAGAUCGGGGUCGACGACGGGCGGCGGGCGCUGCG
Molecule: long non-coding RNA, 5081 nt
Filed under: Triticum aestivum (bread wheat)
Lineage: Eukaryota; Viridiplantae; Streptophyta; Magnoliopsida; Poales; Poaceae
Description: long non-coding RNA (TAES_LNC028297)
Source: RNAcentral